Long non-coding RNA from Cyprinus carpio carpio, 430 nucleotides. NCBI's taxonomy places the organism in Eukaryota, Metazoa, Chordata, Actinopteri, Cypriniformes, Cyprinidae. The record is from Ensembl.
CUGUCUUUAUGAGCGAGUCACUGAAUCGUUCACUCGACCGAUUUGUUCAAAAACAAAGAUUCAUACCGGAAUGAAAUGAAGGGCUGUCUUUAUGAGCGAGUCACUGAAUCGUUCACUCGACCGAUUUGUUUAAAAACAAAGAUUCAUACAGGAAUGAAAUGAAGGGCUGUCUUUAUGAGCGAGUCACUGAAUCAUUAACUCGACCGAUUUGUUUAAAAACAAAGAUUCAUACAGGAAUGAAAUGAAGGGCUGUCUUUAUGAGCGAUCACUGAAUCGUUCACUCGACCGAUUUGUUCAAAAACAAAGAUUCAUACAGGAAUGAAAUGAACGGCUGUCUUUAUGAGCGAUCACUGAAUCGUUCACUCGACCGAUUUGUUCAAAAACAAAGAUUCAUACAGGAAUGAAAUGAACGGCUGUCUUUAUGAGCGAG